Long non-coding RNA from Motacilla alba alba, 1900 nucleotides. RefSeq lists it as uncharacterized. The record is from RefSeq and is a predicted model, not a curated record. Lineage: Eukaryota; Metazoa; Chordata; Aves; Passeriformes; Motacillidae. The transcript has 2 exons.
AAUCUGCUCGAGGUUUGCAAACCUGGCUGAGAUUAUUGAAAUGGAUGCAUUUUUACUGAAACAUCAGAAGCUUUGGGGAGCUCAGGACCCAUUGCACUGGCCUCUGCAAUAGAGGUCUUCUCUGUGCAAAUGUGCAGGGCCUUCUGUCAUCACUCCAAGGGAUCUGUGUGGAUUUUCUGAAUUAUUUUCUACAUACCACAGAGGGGAUUAGGAGGGAGCCUUUGUACUGUCUGUUGUGGACUGCAAGUAAGCUUUUCUAGAAAUUACUCAGAUGCUUUGGUGUGGACAGGCUGCUUAUAUGCUUUUUUUUAGCCUCAGGUCACUUCAUAGCACCUGGAACACCAACAUUUUAAAGAGCAUGGCCUUAAAAUUCCAUGGUCUUUAAAUUAAAAAAUUAACUUUUACAUAAACAUUUGCAAUAAGCCCCAAAAUAGGCUGCUUGUUGUAUUAUUUCCUUUUUUUUUUUAGAAAUUAUUCUCACUUCCUGUGCCAAGUACCAAGUAUGCAGCAACAUCUGCUGCAUAAAAAACACAUCUGGUCAGCAGGGGGAGAGGGGGCAGCCACAGAGGUCACUUUUGGAGGGCGUGGUGAGGGGUGGGGACGAGCAGAUGUAAGAGGCUGUUGAGUGUGUGUGAAGCAGCUCUUGGUCCAGCUGCUCUCUGAGCCUGGUGCUGCAUCUACCACUGCCCUGCCCUGUGCCAUCCCUGGUCAGCUUCAUUCAGCAUGGAGAAGAAGCUUCCCAAGUCCCAGGAAUGUUGCUGGUUGCCAAACUCAGUCUCUGCCAUAAAUAUGAAGGGCUUUUUCUACUCUUUCUGACAUUCUGCCCAGAUUGCAUGCUGUGAAAAUUCAGAGCUGUCAUGGAGACUCGACAUGCUGGUGAACACCUUGUCUGAGCAAGAUAUUUAGUGUAUUUUCUUCCCAACAGGUGGGACAGGCAGUUCCUCCUAGACUUUGGACCACAGGCUUUCCCAGGCCUUUGGUAUGCACUGUGCUUCCAGGGUGCUUGGGAGCAGGGAAAUAAAAAGUGGAGUAAGGGAUUAGAUAAAGAAGUACUGAAUGAAGAGGGCUUGGAUCAGCGGCGAUGAAGGAAAAAAGGGCUGGAAAGAUAAAACACAUACUUUGCCACAGGACUUCCACACCCACUUUGAGGACAGCAGGCUGGUAGAUCCAGCAGAGACCACAGAUACUCCAGGCCACUGGGUUAUCAGGGAGCAAAGCUGUAUUUUUGCAGGAAAGCCACUUUCUGUGUUGCUGUUGACCUGCUUUGGAGUGUAAGUUCAGCCUUGGUGAAACCAAACACUCGAUGGCUGAACUGGUUUUCUGCAUGUCAAACUUGCAGUCUGGGAAACAUCACCAUUUCUGCCUCUCCAUACUCAUCUGAGUUUUCUCAGCUGUUAGCAGGAUGAACUCCUAAGUGAUAUUUCCAGUAAGAAGGCUGUUUAGAAACAGAUGUGCAACAAUUUCAGGAGCAUCCUUAUUUUAAUGUAGCCUUAUACGAAUUUGUCUUCAAAUUCUUUGGAUGGAUAAUUCCUUGUCGCACAUGAUGAUUCAUCAUGAAAAUAAUAAUCACUUUACUGGCUGCAUAGUGUUUAAUCUUGCAUCAAAUAAAGAAGUGAUUGAAACUUGCUCUUAUCACGCCAGAACAAGUUUGUUCAGAAGAAGAAAAUAAUUAUGUUAUUUUUGUACAAAUUGGUAUAAUGAGCUGUCUCUGUGCUAUUAUCUCUGAGCAUUAACGGGGUCUAUUAUGCAGGAUAAUACUCUGAAUAAUUAUUACUUAUCUGCAUGUACAUACACUGAAUAAUAAAAUAAUUAGACCUUUUAAAACAGAGGAUAGAAAAGAUUCCAUUUACUGUAAUUCUGACUUUCUGAUUAUAAGGUUGGAAUAAAAAAUGUGAUAUUU